This 72-nucleotide transfer RNA is filed under the name Camelus bactrianus (Bactrian camel). It matches the Rfam family "tRNA". From Rfam's summary of the family: Transfer RNA (tRNA) molecules are approximately 80 nucleotides in length. Their secondary structure includes four short double-helical elements and three loops (D, anti-codon, and T loops). Lineage: Eukaryota; Metazoa; Chordata; Mammalia; Artiodactyla; Camelidae. RNAcentral also lists the same sequence under 2 other names. The record is from Rfam by way of RNAcentral.
GAAGGUAUAGCUCAGUGGUAGAGCAUGUGCUUAGCAUGCAUGAGAUCCUAGGUUCUAUCCCCAGUGCCUCUA